This 2406-nucleotide ribosomal RNA is filed under the name Dipylidium caninum. RNAcentral's name for it is "SSU rRNA". It matches the Rfam family "Eukaryotic small subunit ribosomal RNA". Lineage: Eukaryota; Metazoa; Platyhelminthes; Cestoda; Cyclophyllidea; Dipylidiidae. The record is from RNAcentral.
CUAUGGUUUAUUGGAUCUUACCCGUUAAAUGGAUAACUGUAAUAACUCUAGAGCUAAUACAUGCCUCGAUGCCCUGACCGCGCUGACCGCUUGGCGGGUCUCUCGACCUGCCGGCUGGACGGCGGGGAUGGGUGCACUUAUUAGAUCAGAAGCCAACCGACUGCGUGCAUGCGGCUUUGAGUGGUCGCUGCGCGGGUUGAGGCACUUCUGGUGACUCUGGAUAAUUGUUACAGAUCGCAGUUGGCCGUGUGUCGGCGACGGAUCCUUCAAAUGUCUGCCCUAUCAACUUUCGAUGGUAGGUGACCUGCCUACCAUGGUGAUAACGGGUAACGGGGAAUCAGGGUUCGAUUCCGGAGAGGGAGCCUGAGAAACGGCUACCACUUCCAAGGGAGGCAGCAGGCGCGCAAAUUACCCACUCCCAGCACGGGGAGGUGGUGACGAAAAAUACCGAUGCGGGACUCCUUAAAGAGGCUCCGUAAUCGGAAUGAGUGGACUCUAAAUCCUUUCACGAGGAUCAAUUGGAGGGCAAGUCUGGUGCCAGCAGCCGCGGUAACUCCAGCUCCAAUAGCGUAUAUUAAAGUUGCUGCAGUUAAAAAGCUCGUAGUUGGAUCUCGGUUGCAUUGUCGCCUCCCGGUACUUGGGCGGCUGGUGUGUGGCCUACGGUGCACUGUAGUGGUGUUGCUGCGCCGGCCCGUCUGUCUGUUCGCCUGUUCGUUGGCUCGCCUUGUCGCUGAUCGCCUGAUCGCCCGCCCGUUAUGAGGUGCGCGUGACUGCGUGCGGAGUGUCGCCUGGCGGUCUGUGUUCCGCCAUCGUGUGGCCUCUUCGCGUGGGCCAUUGUGUGCUUGCGGUGUUGACGGUGUUGACGAUUUUGGCGGUGUUGGCGAGCGGCGCCAGCGGGGGCAUUUGGUGGUGGCGGCGCUGUGGCGGUGUUGCCGGGGCCAUUAAUUAGCACUGUCGCGUCAAGCUGGGGGGUCGGCGGUGCCACCUUUGAGCCAUGUCUGUGGCCUCACGGUCGCAGGUGUGGGCGGGUGUCGGAUAGGGCCCUGCAUACGCUGUGGGGCCUGUCGGCCCGUCUGCAUGCCUUUGGAUGCCCUUCAAAAGGUGUCUGUGGGCGGAUGGCACGUUUACUUUGAACAAAUUUGAGUGCUCAAAUCAGGCCGAGGUUGCCUGAAAAGUUUUGCAUGGAAUAAUGGAAUAGGACUUCGGUUCUAUUUCGUUGGUUUUCGGAUCCGAAGUAAUGAUCAAUAGAGACAGGCGGGGACGUUUGUAUGGCUGCGCUAGAGGUGAAAUUCAUGGACCGUAGCCAGACAGACUAAAGCGAAAGCAUUCGUCAAGCAUGUUUUCAUUGGCCAUGAGCGAAAGUCAGAGGCUCGAAGACGAUCAGAUACCGUCCUAGUUCUGACCAUAAACGAUGCCAACUGACGAUCCGUGGUGGUAGUGCAGAAGCAACCUUCCCCACGGGCAGUCCCCGGGAAACCCUUAAGUCUUUGGGUUCCGGGGGAAGUAUGGUUGCAAAGCUGAAACUUAAAGGAAUUGACGGAAGGGCACCACCAGGAGUGGAGCCUGCGGCUUAAUUUGACUCAACACGGGAAAACUCACCCGGGCCGGACACUAUGAGGAUUGACAGAUUGAUGGCUCUUUCUUGAUUUGGUGGUUGGUGGUGCAUGGCCGUUCUUAGUUGGUGGAGCGAUUUGUCUGGUUAAUUCCGAUAACGAACGAGACUCCAACCUGCUAAUUAGUGCGUUUGUCCACUGCUCCUGUGUAGGCGGUGCUGGACGAGGCUGCUGUCGUGGGCGUGAUGCCUUCUCCAUGUCCUCGUCCUCCUCCUCCUCCUCCUCCUCCUCCUCCUCGCGUCCUUCCUCCGCCUCCUCCGCCUCCUUCGGAUGGAUGGGUGGACGGAUGGAUGGAUGGAUGGAUGGAUGGAUGGGUGGGUGGGUGGACGGUUGGGCGGAUGGACGUGGGGUUGGUGCUUGCGGCGGUCGGCCGGUCGGGCGUUAGCCACCGGGUGCGGCGCGAAUGCCUACUUCUUAGAGGGACAAGCGGGAGAAGCCGCACGAAAUAGAGCAAUAACAGGUCUGUGAUGCCCUUAGAUGUCCGGGGCCGCACGCGCGCUACAUUGACGGUGCCAGCGAGUGAGACCUUCUGGCCUGAGAGGGCUGGGUAAACUGGUCAAUCACCGUCACGACAGGGAUCGGGGCUUGGAAUUGUCCCCCGUGAACGAGGAAUUCCUAGUAAGUGCAAGUCAUAAGCUUGCGCUGAUUACGUCCCUGCCCUUUGUACACACCGCCCGUCGCUACUACCGAUUGAAUGGUUUAGUAAGGUCCUUGGAUCGGUGCCAUUGUGACGCUCGCCGAGAGGGGAUCGUCCGGCAGGCGCUGAGAAGACGACCGAACUUGAUCAUUUAGA